Non-coding RNA from Acanthosepion pharaonis, 112 nucleotides. Lineage: Eukaryota; Metazoa; Mollusca; Cephalopoda; Sepiida; Sepiidae. The record is from the annotation of a GenBank genome assembly.
ACAGCCACAUCACAUUGAAACACGGGUUCCCCAUAUGAUCACCAAAGUUAAGCAUCAUCAAGCCUGGUCAGUACCUAGAUGGGUGACUGUUUGGGAAUACGAGGUGCUGUAA